Long non-coding RNA from Oncorhynchus tshawytscha (Chinook salmon), 530 nucleotides. The record is from Ensembl. NCBI's taxonomy places the organism in Eukaryota, Metazoa, Chordata, Actinopteri, Salmoniformes, Salmonidae.
CGCGGUGGUAAUACAUGGGGACAGAGCCCAAUAUUUAGAGGGAAGUCAAAGUGGGGCGCGGUGGUAAUACAUGGGGACAGAGCCCAAUAUUUAGAGGGAAGUCAAAGUGGGGCGCGGUGGUAAUACAUGGGGACAGGGCCCAACAUUUAGAGGGGUGAGGUGGUAAUACAUGGGGACAGAGCCCAAUAUUUAGAGGGGUGAGGUGGUAAUACAUGGGGACAGAGCCCAACAUUUAGAGGGAAAUCAAAGAGGGGUGAGGUGGUAAACCAUGGGGACAGGGCCCAACAUUUAGAGGGGUGAGGUGGUAAACCAUGGGGACAGGGCCCAACAUUUAGAGGGGUGAGGUGGUAAACCAUGGGGACAGGGCCCAACAUUUAGAGGGGUGAGGUGGUAAUACAUGGGGACAGAGCCCAACAUUUAGAGGGAAAUCAAAGAGGGGUGAGGUGGUAAACCAUGGGGACAGAGCCCAACAUUUAGAGGGGCGCGGUGGUAAUAGAUGGGGACAGGGUCCAACAUUUAGAGGGAAAUCA